GCAAGUCUGGUGCCAGCAGCCGCGGUAAUUCCAGCUCCAAUAGCGUAUAUUAAAGUUGUUGCAGUUAAAAAGCUCGUAGUUGAACCUUGGGUCUGGAUGGCCGGUCCGCCUCACCGCGUGUACUGGUCCGGCCGGACCUUUCCUUCUGGGGAAUCGCAUGCCCUUCACUGGGUGUGUCGAGGAUCCAGGACUUUUACUUUGAAAAAAUUAGAGUGUUCAAAGCAGGCAUAAGCUCGAAUACAUUAGCAUGGAAUAAUAGAAUAGGACGUGUGGUUAUAUUUUGUUGGUUUCUAGGACCGCCGUAAUGAUUAAUAGGGAUAGUCGGGGGCAUCAGUAUUCAAUUGUCAGAGGUGAAAUUCUUGGAUAUAUUGAAGAAUAACUACUGCGAAAGCAUUGCCAA
Molecule: ribosomal RNA, 400 nt
Filed under: uncultured fungus
Lineage: Eukaryota; Fungi
Description: SSU rRNA
Rfam family: Eukaryotic small subunit ribosomal RNA
Source: RNAcentral